This is a long non-coding RNA of Gorilla gorilla gorilla (western lowland gorilla), 609 nucleotides long. RefSeq lists it as uncharacterized. The record is from RefSeq and is a predicted model, not a curated record. Lineage: Eukaryota; Metazoa; Chordata; Mammalia; Primates; Hominidae. The transcript has 2 exons.
CUUCUGUUCUGUUACCACAGGAGUGAGACUGUGGCCCGUGUGCUGCCCAAUCUUGCCUGGAACCGGCUGCUGCUGCUGCUCUUUUGCUUCUGCCUUAACCCUGGGUUACCCUCAUUCCCUAUUCUCCUGCCUCAGAUUGGAUGGUGCUGCCCACAUCGAGGUGGAACAGGAAUUAAAAGAAAUUAAAGAAUAUGUAAGCAGAAACUCAGUUGUAUGUAAGAAAACCCAAUUCCCCCUGAGAAAGAGAAAGUGCUGAAGUCCUUUAAAAUUAACUGCCUGUUUUUCUGUGGCUAGUGAGCCUUAUUUCUCCCUUUCCCAGGCAUUGCGAAGACCCUGUUUCUCUAGCCGUGCAGCUGCAAGGUCAUAAACAGAUAAACUCAAGUAGCAAAACAUGUUUUUCUUUGAAAAGUAAGAAAUGAUGUAAUGCAUGUCUCAAUUAAUUGAAUAACUGUCUUUGUUUCUCGCUUCUGUAACAUGCUUCCCCCUGCACAGAUCUCCCUCCACCCCACGAAAUGCCUAAGAGGUAACUUAACUCUUUGUUCAGGGCUCAGUCCUUUGGAUGUUAAUCCGACUGGGCUGGUGCACCUAAAUAAUAAAUAUCUUCCUCAA